Non-coding RNA from Schizosaccharomyces pombe (fission yeast), 588 nucleotides. The record is from the annotation of a GenBank genome assembly. Lineage: Eukaryota; Fungi; Ascomycota; Schizosaccharomycetes; Schizosaccharomycetales; Schizosaccharomycetaceae.
UUUUCAAUUUCUCUACGGCUGGAUUCGAAAAUGGAGAUACAGAAGGGGAAGGACUGAAAGUCUGUAGUAAAGGAGAGUUGAAGGCCUGUUUACUAGCGGAAAAAUGCAUACCGGAAGAAGAAAGUGAAUUGGAUGAAAGAGGUUUGAAUUUGUGGUAAGAAGUGGCAAUUGCGGCAUUCUUUAAUGAAAAUCGUCGACUUCGAGGAUGAUGCGGAAAAGAUGUACGAGGUGUUGGAACGGUCAACGACCGUUUUCUAGUUGAUGUACGUUCAUAAUAACCACUCUUUUUAGCCGCAAUGGCAGCCGCGUUCGAAGCCGCCCCGCCUCUUCUUGAAUCCUCGACAAAAAUUUGCUUAUUCUUUUUGGUGUGAUACUUCGAGGAUAAAGGACUAGUGGAACUUUGAGAAUCAUCUUGUUCAGGAAAAUCCGCAAAACUCGCUUUGGCAGCAGCUAAGGGAUCUAGUGGGUUGGCAUCAACAUAUGGAUCUACGGAUUUAUAUAUAGCGGAAGGUAAGCUCUUUCUGUGGUUCUGAAAUAGGGGAAAGGAUCCAUUAGAAUGCUGAAAAAAUGAUCUGCUUAUGCUUGGAG